Molecule: ribosomal RNA, 497 nt
Filed under: uncultured bacterium
Lineage: Bacteria
Description: partial 16S ribosomal RNA
Rfam family: Bacterial small subunit ribosomal RNA
Source: RNAcentral
GACGAACGCUGGCGGCGUGCCUAAUACAUGCAAGUCGAACGCUGAAGCGAGGAGCUUGCUCUUCUUGGAUGAGUUGCGAACGGGUGAGUAACGCGUAGGUAACCUGCCUGGUAGCGGGGGAUAACUAUUGGAAACGAUAGCUAAUACCGCAUAAAAUUGAUUAUUGCAUGAUAAUUAAUUGAAAGAUGCAACUGCAUCACUACCAGAUGGACCUGCGUUGUAUUAGCUAGUUGGUGAGGUAACGGCUCACCAAGGCGACGAUACAUAGCCGACCUGAGAGGGUGAUCGGCCACACUGGGACUGAGACACGGCCCAGACUCCUACGGGAGGCAGCAGGAGGGAAUCUUCGGCAAUGGGGGGAACCCUGACCGAGCAACGCCGCGUGAGGGAAGAAGGGUUUCGGAUCGUAAAGCUCUGUCGUAAGAGAAGAACGGGUGUGAGAGUGGAAAGUUCACACUGUGACGGUAUCUUACCAGAAAGGGACGGCUAACUACGUG